UUGUAGUGUGACAUGCCCGUUUGGGAAUUAUUCAGAUGUAUGUUUAUUUGUUAUUUAAUUGAAUUUGAGUAACGGGGUGUUACAAUACU
Molecule: microRNA precursor, 89 nt
Filed under: Medicago truncatula (barrel medic)
Lineage: Eukaryota; Viridiplantae; Streptophyta; Magnoliopsida; Fabales; Fabaceae
Description: MIR2617 microRNA precursor family
Rfam family: MIR2617 microRNA precursor family
Source: Rfam by way of RNAcentral